GUUUCAUUGUAACAUUUGUCAUAAAGUAAGCACAUCAUCAUUUAUUAGUUGAAUCAGAAUCAGAUACGUAUAAAUUGAGCAUUAUUGUUUGUGUAUAUUAUAAAGAUUAUUUGGACUAAUAGCAGUAUGCUUCGUUGGAUCAUUCUAGCUGCUCUUUUGGCCUUGGUAAGCACACAGUGUAACGAUUUCGCUUUCCAAUAUGAAUGUCUGCAGAACGCAAACCGGAAGUUGUCUGUCUGUAAGCAGUGCGAGAAUACUUUGGUAUCCAGACUUCAAUGUGAGCUAAACUGUCUACAGGAUGCAUAUAGAAGAGUAACACACUGUAUCAUUCUGGAGUGAAAACAGCAACAUGAGAAUAAAA
This is a long non-coding RNA of Saccostrea cuccullata (small rock oyster), 361 nucleotides long. RefSeq lists it as uncharacterized. The transcript has 2 exons. Lineage: Eukaryota; Metazoa; Mollusca; Bivalvia; Ostreida; Ostreidae. The record is from RefSeq and is a predicted model, not a curated record.